Molecule: ribosomal RNA, 499 nt
Filed under: uncultured bacterium
Lineage: Bacteria
Description: partial 16S ribosomal RNA
Rfam family: Bacterial small subunit ribosomal RNA
Source: RNAcentral
GACGAACGCUGGCGGCGUGCCUAAUACAUGCAAGUCGAGCGAAGUUUUUCUGGUGCUUGCCCUAGAAAAACUUAGCGGCGAACGGGUGAGUAACACGUAAAGAACCUGCCUCAUAGACUGGGACAACUAUUGGAAACGAUAGCUAAUACCGGAUAACAGUAUUUCUCGCAUGAGAGAUAUUUAAAAGUUGGUUAUGCUAACACUAUGAGAUGGCUUUGCGGUGCAUUAGCUAGUUGGUGGGGUAAAGGCCCACCAAGGCGACGAUGCAUAGCCGACCUGAGAGGGUGAUCGGCCACACUGGGACUGAGACACGGCCCAGACUCCUACGGGAGGCAGCAGUAGGGAAUCUUCCGCAAUGGACGAAAGCCUGACGGAGCAACGCCGCGUGAGUGAAGAAGGAUUUCGGUUCGUAAAGCUCUGUUGUUAGGGAAGAAUGGAUAUGUAGUAACUAUACAUGUAAGAGACGGUACCUAACCAGAAAGCCACGGCUAACUACGUG